AGCUCUGAUUGUCCAAACGCAAUUCUUGCUCAUUUUUUAAUAAUUCAAGAGUUGUUUCUGGACAUCGUGGCUC
This 73-nucleotide microRNA precursor is filed under the name Megaselia scalaris. RNAcentral's name for it is "mir-219 microRNA precursor family". It matches the Rfam family "mir-219 microRNA precursor family". From Rfam's summary of the family: The hairpin precursors (represented here) are predicted based on base pairing and cross-species conservation -- their extents are not known. In this case the mature sequence is excised from the 5' arm of the hairpin. The record is from RNAcentral. Lineage: Eukaryota; Metazoa; Arthropoda; Insecta; Diptera; Phoridae.